AGUGAACGCUGGCGGUAGGCCUAACACAUGCAAGUCGAACGGCAGCACAGUAAGAGCUUGCUCUUACGGGUGGCGAGUGGCGGACGGGUGAGGAAUACAUCGGAAUCUACUUUUUCGUGGGGGAUAACGGAGGGAAACUUACGCUAAUACCGCAUACGACCUACGGGUGAAAUCAGGGGAUCUUCGGACCUUGCGCGAUUGAAUGAGCCGAUGUCGGAUUAGCUAGUUGGCGGGGUAAAGGCCCACCAAGGCGACGAUCCGUAGCUGGUCUGAGAGGAUGAUCAGCCACACUGGAACUGAGACACGGUCCAGACUCCUACGGGAGGCAGCAGUGGGGAAUAUUGGACAAUGGGCGCAAGCCUGAUCCAGCCAUACCGCGUGGGUGAAGAAGGCCUUCGGGUUGUAAAGCCCUUUUGUUGGGAAAGAAAAUCAGCAGGUUAAUACCCCGCUGUUCUGACGGUACCCAAAGAAUAAGCACCGGCUAACUUCGUG
RNAcentral lists this ribosomal RNA (492 nucleotides) under uncultured bacterium. RNAcentral describes it as "partial 16S ribosomal RNA". It matches the Rfam family "Bacterial small subunit ribosomal RNA", at positions 29 to 507 of the family's 1533-position model. The record is from RNAcentral.